This is a long non-coding RNA of Paramisgurnus dabryanus, 1248 nucleotides long. RefSeq lists it as uncharacterized. NCBI's taxonomy places the organism in Eukaryota, Metazoa, Chordata, Actinopteri, Cypriniformes, Cobitidae. The record is from RefSeq and is a predicted model, not a curated record.
AGCAUGAAGUCGAACACAUCUGAAAGAUGUGUGGGCUGCCUGCACUCAACGUUUCGAUAAUUCAGUAGAGUGUAACCUCAAUCGGUUUUUGCAGCUUCUGGGUGUCGUGUCGAACGAUCGCAGAACGAUUUUUUGUUCUUUUCCAACUCGAUUUUUAACCCCCUAAACUAGUAGGAUGUUCCAACGGGUGAAGCAACAGUGCUGACGGCAGAGUUUCAGUGUCAAUUUUUCAUGCCAUGAUCACUGGGGCGGAAACCAUUAUUACGUUGCCUUGGACAUCAAACUAAACCAUCUCAUUUUGGCUUUUUUCUAACAUCGAAAUCUCAGAAGGCCAGGACUAAGAUGGACGCAGCCUCCACAUGCAACCUUGCAUUUGAGGAACACCCAUAGAACGGUCAACUUACCCCAUACUCUAACCUGAAUGCAGGGAUCAUAAAACUUUAUAUUUUACCUUAAUUGUUAGAUGGGUGUUGAUACCAAACUUUUUUGUCUCGUCUACCCAGGAGAAAGUCAUGGGUUCUGCUGCUGAGGUUGUCAUAAAGCAUGCUUUUUCCAUUUGUUGCAUUGGGCAAUAUUAUCAAAAGAUUCUGAAAGAAAUAAGAUAAUUUUCAAAGCAUUAACAUGAAUAUGAAAGCAUUAAGUCAUUAAUGACCAUCUUUUAUUAUUGUUUAUUUAUAGUGUCUUUUAUUCUGCUUACCUGACUCAUGCAGAAUUCUGGCUUGAUGUUUGGUCCACCUGUUAGCUGGCUCUGGUGCUUGGUAGUCUUCUCAAACCUCUGAAUCAAGGCCACCAUGAGAGGCCUUCUGAAGACCAUCAUUACGCUUCAGAUCCAGUUGUCUUUACUUUGAGCCUACCACAAUCCCUGUGCACCAGCUAUGGAAAGUGCAGACCAAACUUCUACCUCCACCUAUAGAACUGAACUGGAGUCUGUGAACUAAUGCUGUGUUCGAGACAACUGGAACAGCAAACAAAAUCCUUUCUCUUUUUAAUGCAGCACUUAAGGAUGAACCACCCUGAUCUACUAAGAUGCACAGAUUCAACUCUGGCCCAGCAUCAUCCCCACACCUCAUCUGCCAUCAGUUUAAUUUAAUGUCUGUCAAUUGCAAAUGCUAUUUAUUUCAGUUAUAUUACAACUUAAUGUUAACUUUAAUUGAGACUAGUAUUGUGUAAAGCUGGGGUUUCCAAACUUUUCAUAUCAAAACCUAUUAAACAAGUGUAAUCUAUUCUACACCCACUAAAAUAUUUUUA